AUAGCCUGCUCUAUGAAAAUUUUUAAAUGGCCGCGGUAUUUUGACCGUGCGAAGGUAGCAUAAUCAUUAGUCUUUUAAUUGAAGGCUGGUAUGAAUGGCUGGACGAGAAAAUUUCUGUCUCUGUUAUAAAAUUUGAAUUUUAUUUUUAAGUGAAAAAGCUUAAAUUUUUUUGAGGGACGAUAAGACCCUUUGGAUCUUUAUAGUGAUGAUUAGUAAAAAGAUUGGGUGUAACAGCUUAUUACUUUAAAUUAUUGGGUUGGGGCGACCGGAAGAAAAAAAUAUCUCUUCUUAAUUAAUAUACUAUUAGUAGAAUUAAGAUGACCCUGAAUUUUGGUUUAAAAGACUAAGUUACCCUAGGGAUAACAGCGUAAUCUUUUUGGAGAGUUCUUAUCGAUGAAAAGGUUUGCGACCUCGAUGUUGGAUUAAGAUAUCCUUAUGGCGCAGCCGUUAUAGAGGAAAGUCUGUUCGACUUUUAAAUUCUU
This 482-nucleotide ribosomal RNA is filed under the name Triops granarius. RNAcentral's name for it is "partial 16S ribosomal RNA". It matches the Rfam family "Bacterial large subunit ribosomal RNA", at positions 1854 to 2597 of the family's 2925-position model. The record is from RNAcentral. Lineage: Eukaryota; Metazoa; Arthropoda; Branchiopoda; Notostraca; Triopsidae.